RNAcentral lists this ribosomal RNA (650 nucleotides) under uncultured marine bacterium. RNAcentral's name for it is "bacterial SSU rRNA". It matches the Rfam family "Bacterial small subunit ribosomal RNA", at positions 97 to 781 of the family's 1533-position model. The record is from RNAcentral.
GGCAGACGGGUGAGUAACAUGUGGGUAUCUGCCCUUUGGCCUGGAAUAACACGAGGAAACUUGUGCUAAUACUGGAUAAGUCUUUACGGAGAAAGCUUUAUGCACCAUUGGAUGAGCCCGCACUUGAUUAGUUUGUUGGUGGGGUAAUGGCCUACCAAGACUGUGAUCAAUAGCUGAUUUGAGAGGAUGAUCAGCCACAUUGGGACUGAGACACGGCCCAAACUCCUACGGGAGGCAGCAGUGGGGAAUCUUGCACAAUGGAGGAAACUCUGAUGCAGCGAUGCCGCGUGAGUGAAGAAGGCCUUUGGGUUGUAAAGCUCUUUCGUCGGGGAAGAAAAUGACUGUACCCGAAUAAGAAGGUCCGGCUAACUUCGUGCCAGCAGCCGCGGUAAUACGAAGGGACCUAGCGUAGUUCGGAAUUACUGGGCUUAAAGAGUUCGUAGGUGGUUGAAAAAGUUGGUGGUGAAAUCCCAGAGCUUAACUCUGGAACUGCCAUCAAAACUUUUCAGCUAGAGUUUGAUAGAGGAAAGCAGAAUUUCUAGUGUAGAGGUGAAAUUCGUAGAUAUUAGAAAGAAUACCAAUUGCGAAGGCAGCUUUCUGGAUCAUUACUGACACUGAGGAACGAAAGCAUGGGUAGCGAAGAGGAUUAG